UACGUAGGGUGCAAGCGUUGUCCGGAAUUAUUGGGCGUAAAGAGCUCGUAGGCGGUUUGUUGCGUCGGCUGUGAAAUCCCGAGGCUCAACCUCGGGUCUGCAGUCGAUACGAGCAAACUAGAGUGUUGCAGGGGAGACUGGAAUUCCUGGUGUAGCGGUGAAAUGCGCAGAUAUCAGGAGGAACACCGGUGGCGAAGGCGGUGAUCUGGGCCGACACUGACACUGAAUCGCGAAAGCGUGGGGAGCGAACAGG
Molecule: ribosomal RNA, 253 nt
Filed under: uncultured bacterium
Lineage: Bacteria
Description: partial 16S ribosomal RNA
Rfam family: Bacterial small subunit ribosomal RNA
Source: RNAcentral